Thalassophryne amazonica is the source of this 597-nucleotide non-coding RNA. Lineage: Eukaryota; Metazoa; Chordata; Actinopteri; Batrachoidiformes; Batrachoididae. The record is from the annotation of a RefSeq genome assembly.
ACAGAUGAUGUAGAUGAAGGUCCAGAUGGUUCAGAGUCUCAGUGUUCUUCCUCUCUCUCCUCCCCUCUCACUGCAGACAUGAAACACUGGCUGACAAACAUCCUGAUUCUGACUCUCUGGCUCGAGUGUAAAGGAGAAGACAGAGUGAUCCAGCGCACAGCAGAUGUCAUUGCUGCUGAAGGACACCACGUCACACUUCAAUGUUCCUUUGAAACCACCAGCACAAAUUCUUAUUUGCUCUGGUACGAACAAGAACUAAAUGGUUCUCCAAAGUUUAUGCUGCUACGAGAUAAAUUUGGAACAAGAAGAAAUGCUGCAGAGUUCAACAAAGAGAGAUUUGAUGCUGAAGUCAACAAGACAUCAGUUGAUCUGAAGAUCCAGAAGCUGCAGCUGCGAGACUCUGCUGUGUACUACUGUGCUCUGCAGCCCACAGUGACAGCAAGCAGCAAAAGAGAGGACAAAAACACUACACAACCACCACUAGUUUUCCUCUUCACUCUUGACACGUCCCCCUCCUAUUCUUCUUCACUGCCCAUCAGUAGCCCAAUUUGCACAGGCACCCUGCUGGGCAACAACACCAGUGGUGGUUACUGUUAA